GCUGGACCUGCCGUGUGUAUGCACAAGUGGAAGAAGGCGCCGGUUUGAAAUAAGAAAAUAAGAAGAACAAGUCCAGAUCUUUUCCCCCCGCCAAGAAAAGAAGAAAAACCAACGAGCGUGCGAUGAGAGAGCGCGCGCGCGCGUUAGCCGGCCCUCGCCCGCCGCGACUCGGUCCGUCGCGUUUUGUCAGCAGACCCCGCGCGCUAUAUCCCCCACCCAGCCACACACACACACACACACAGGUGUGUUUGCCAAUCAAAUGGCUGCUACAUCUUUCCCAGAAAAAAACAGGAAGAAGAAGAAGAAGAAGAAGAAGAAGGAAAAAAAAAGUGUUUUAUGACUUGUGUGUGUUGUGCCCUGCCCACCCAUUUGAGGAAUGGACAAAACGGACAGACAGACAGUGCCAGACAAGUGUGUGUAACGUCUGGCUGCCGCCGCGCCCUAUUGGACUCAAUAAUAAGACACGCGGGAACAUUUUGAGACCCACACACAUCAACGAGUUCCUCAUUUCACAUAGCCACAGCCCCAAAUAGGAAAAAGGCGACCCAAAGGACUACGCGACCGGAGGAGAUCAAGACCAACAGAUAAUAAAUAAGUCGAGAAGAAGAACAAGAAGAAGAAAAACGGACUGUGAUCAUGUGUCCUACGAUCCUCAAUUCCAUCCAUCAUUUCCCAUCAGGGAAAGCAAAUUUUCACAGGUACACCCAUUGUUGUGCUGAUUGAUCAAACUGGCCUCGUCGCGGGGAAUUUCCCCACCGAUGACUAUUGGCUUUUCAACCAACGGCUUCGCACGCUUCGAAUGUAUGGCGAUUUCAUUUUGUCAAAAGAAAGAAAAAAGAAAAAGAAAAUGCACGGCGAAGCGGUUGUUUGAUGUCGACCAGAUGACGGCCACAUUGGCUCAUCGGCCAGAGAAAAGAUGACGAGAAAGAUAGAUGAUGACGACGACAAGAUGCACAUCGAGUCGAAAUUCUUUUAGUAAAAAAAAUUGGAUUUGUGCCAGCAGUUUUUACGCAACGGCGACUGACGAUCGCAUAACUGGACAUAGAGACGAGCGAAAAAACGUACAACGCCAUUUUCCAUACAGCCGUCGUUGCAUCAGUGGAUGGGGGAUCAUCUAGCCUAUUUUAAUAUUAUUAGGACACACACGGCCGAUACAUUUUGCAGCUGUGUGUGGGAAAAUGAAGUAUAUGCGUAUAAGCGCGGCCCAUAUGCCAACAAUCUGCCGGAGUAGCCUUCUGCUGUGUAGCGCAGCUCUAUCCCCAUAUUGUUAUGCCGAGUUCUUUUAUAUGAAUUCUGCUAUAUACUGGUUUGGUUUGGUUUUUUUAGAAUUGUUGGAAAUUGAAGAAAUCCGCGUAUUGUUGGACCAAAUAGGAUUACAUACUUAUAUACAGUAUACUUUGUAGGUUUCGAAAUGGAAUCAUUUGGGACGCGCGUCGAUCAAUUGCGCGGGCCCCCAUAGAUCGUUAUUUCAUUACGGUGAGAGUUCGGCUAUUGUUGACUAGAAAGUAACAAGGAUACUUUUGCUGAGACUGCGCUCCCGCGCAAAUUAUAUAUAUAUGUGUACCGAGUCCUAGAUCUGUCUUUUUCUUUUCUUUUCGGAAGUGACAUCAUUCUUGGCGCGUAGCAGGAAUCCAUCCUAUUAGACUAUGACGUCAAUGUGCCACUAGUCUAUUUGAGCCACUGCGGUUUGGCUCGCUGUGUAUAGUCUGAAUUUUUAGUUUCCUUUCCUUUGCUGGUGAAUAUAUAACAAUAGCGUGCGCUUGCUAUUCUUAUAUAUUCUUCUACGGCCGCCGCUGUUUCGGCUAUAGGGAGAUAAUUAGACUAGUCCAAAAAGAAGAAGAAGAAUUUAGAAGUUUAGAGUUGUGUUGUCCCCCAUAUAGCAGCUUAUUUAUUAGCACGUGAUAUUACCCGCCGGCCUGAUUAUGUCAGGGAACGUCCUGAUUCUUAUCAUCCACAAAGAGCUUCUUCUUGAUUUUUCCGUUUUUUUUUGGCAAAUGAAAGAACACUUUUACUUGGACUCCAUUUCGAGUUCGUGAAACCAACCCCUCCCCAUUAGUUACACAGGUGUAUAAUAGACACCAAGACGACCAAGAGGCCACUGGCCAUUAUAGUCGAUCCUGUUUUUGUGCUGGCAGUCGGGUUCGUGUUUGUGAGUGCAAACGGGUUGAUUUGUUGUCAGUUACAAGGCGGAUGUAAAAUUAAAUUUAAAAAAGAAACUGUUGAAAACGAACCGGAGCGAAAGCGACCAACAUCUGAGUCCGCACUUUUGGCCGAUUGCAUUAAAUCCACGUGUGUAUCUGAUUGAGUUUUAGUGGCUGUAUAUAUAUAGCCCAAAGAGAAAAAUAAAUCUAAUACGUUGCCA
This 2362-nucleotide long non-coding RNA is filed under the name Daphnia pulicaria. RNAcentral describes it as "uncharacterized LOC124329288". Lineage: Eukaryota; Metazoa; Arthropoda; Branchiopoda; Diplostraca; Daphniidae. The record is from RNAcentral.